RNAcentral lists this long non-coding RNA (230 nucleotides) under Mytilus galloprovincialis (Mediterranean mussel). Lineage: Eukaryota; Metazoa; Mollusca; Bivalvia; Mytilida; Mytilidae. The record is from RNAcentral.
GGUAUGAUUGACAAUGAGACAACUAUCCACAAAAGACCAAAAUGACACAGACAUUAACAACUGUAGGUCACCAUACGGUCUUCAACAAUGAGCAAAGCCCAUACCACAUAGUCAGCUAUAAAAGGCCCCGAUAAGACAAUGUAAAACAAUUCAAACGAGAAAACUAACGGCCUUAUUUAUGUAAAAAAAUGAACGAAAAACAAAUAUGUAACACAUAAACAAACAACAAC